AGAAUUCUGAACAAAGGAUUUCCGAUAGAGGAAGAGGAGGAUAGCUCACCCAAUUUACCGGGAGUUUCCUAGCGCGAUGUGAUCUGGCCACCCAAUCAGCCGCCCUAUUUGCUUCGCGUGGACAGUAGAGGACCUGGAUGGGAAUACGAGACUUCAUCAGUUCUCGGCAUUUUGCAGUAAUGGCCUUUAAGUUCCAUGGGGUUCGGCCCGGCCCAGAACCAUCUCCACCAAAUUAAAGCUGUCGCUUUCAACCACCCAUCUAACCGGUUGACUGAAGGAGUUCUGCACGUGCGACUCUUCUUUUUCCUUCAAGUACAUGAACCCGUGCAGGAGAGAGAGAGCUUCGGCUUGUUGAGAGGAUGAAGCCCUAGCUUCGCAGGCGAAACCCGCGACCACCAACCCAUUCGAAUCGCGGAUGAUUCCGGCGAUUGAGCAGAGAAACUCGCCUGGGAGCCACGAAGCGUCGAUGUUGAGUUUCAGAUCUUCCCCAUCCGGCGGCUUCCACCAUCCGGAUCCACGAGAUCUGCUGGUUGCGGUGGGUUUGGCUCUGAAAAUGAAGUGAUUCCGGGACUUCCAGAUGUUCCAGAGGACAGUCGCGAUGAGUUCUUGCUCCGGUGAUGUAAAACUUCUUGGACGAUGAGGAUAUUAUCCUGGAUUUGGCGUCCUUGGACAAAGGCACCC
This is a long non-coding RNA of Eucalyptus grandis, 681 nucleotides long. RefSeq lists it as uncharacterized. The transcript has 3 exons. Lineage: Eukaryota; Viridiplantae; Streptophyta; Magnoliopsida; Myrtales; Myrtaceae. The record is from RefSeq and is a predicted model, not a curated record.